RNAcentral lists this ribosomal RNA (550 nucleotides) under Retama raetam. RNAcentral's name for it is "SSU rRNA". It matches the Rfam family "Eukaryotic small subunit ribosomal RNA", at positions 548 to 1095 of the family's 1831-position model. RNAcentral also lists the same sequence under 1 other name. Lineage: Eukaryota; Viridiplantae; Streptophyta; Magnoliopsida; Fabales; Fabaceae. The record is from RNAcentral.
UUGGAGGGCAAGUCUGGUGCCAGCAGCCGCGGUAAUUCCAGCUCCAAUAGCGUAUAUUAAAGUUGUUGCAGUUAAAAAGCUCGUAGUUGAAUUUCGGGAUUGACAUAUCGGUCGUGCCUUAAGGGGUAUGAACUGGUGUAGUCAGUUUCUCACCUUCUGGAGAACCGCGAUGUCCUUAAUUGGGUGCCGCGAGGAACCAGGACCUUUACUUUGAAAAAAUUAGAGUGUUUAAAGCAGGCAUUUUGCUUGAAUACAUUAGCAUGGAAUAAUAAAAUAGGACGGAUGGUUCUAUUUUGUUGGUUUCUAGGAUCACCGUAAUGAUUAAUAGGGAUAGUUGGGGGCAUUAGUAUUCAAUUGUCAGAGGUGAAAUUCUUGGAUUUAUUGAAGACUAACUACUGCGAAAGCAUUUGCCAAGGAUGUUUUCAUUAAUCAAGAACGAAAGUUAGGGGAUCGAAGACGAUCAGAUACCGUCGUAGUCUUAACCAUAAACUAUGCCGACUAGGAAUCAGACGAUGUUAAUUUUUUAAUGACUCUUUGGGGGGGGACGGGA